RNAcentral lists this ribosomal RNA (490 nucleotides) under uncultured bacterium. RNAcentral describes it as "partial 16S ribosomal RNA". It matches the Rfam family "Bacterial small subunit ribosomal RNA", at positions 30 to 507 of the family's 1533-position model. The record is from RNAcentral.
AUUGAACGCUGGCGGCAGGCCUAACACAUGCAAGUCGAAUGGUAACAGGAAACAGCUUGCUGUUUCGCUGACGAGUGGCGGACGGGUGAGGAAUGUCUGGGAAACUGCCUGAUGGAGGGGGAUAACUACUGGAAACGGUAGCUAAUACCGCAUAACGUCGCAAGACCAAAGAGGGGGACCUUCGGGCCUCUUGCCAUUAGAUGUGCCCAGAUGGGAUUAGCUAGUAGGUGGGGUAACGGCUCACCUAGGCGACGAUCCCUAGCUGGUCUGAGAGGAUGACCAGCCACACUGGAACUGAGACACGGUCCAGACUCCUACGGGAGGCAGCAGUGGGGAAUAUUGCACAAUGGGCGAAAGCCUGAUGCAGCCAUGCCGCGUGUAUGAAGAAGGCCUUCGGGUUGUAAAGUACUUUCAGCGGGGAGGAAGGGAGUAAAGUUAAUACCUUUGCUCAUUGACGUUACCCGCAGAAGAAGCACCGGCUAACUCCGUG